RNAcentral lists this ribosomal RNA (424 nucleotides) under uncultured bacterium. RNAcentral's name for it is "bacterial SSU rRNA". It matches the Rfam family "Bacterial small subunit ribosomal RNA", at positions 355 to 775 of the family's 1533-position model. The record is from RNAcentral.
UGAGGAAUAUUGGUCAAUGGGCGCAAGCCUGAACCAGCCAUCCCGCGUGCAGGAAGACGGCCCUUUGGGUUGUAAACUGCUUUUCCAGGGGGAGAAACUUGCGCACGUGUUGCGCAAUUGACGGUACCCUGGGAAUAAGCACCGGCUAACUCCGUGCCAGCAGCCGCGGUAAUACGGAGGAUGCGAGCGUUAUCCGGAUUCAUUGGGUUUAAAGGGUGCGUAGGCGGACUAUUAAGUCAGUGGUGAAAUCCUGCAGCUUAACUGCAGAACUGCCAUUGAUACUGAUAGCCUUGAGUUUGGUUAAGGUAGGCGGAAUGUGUAGUGUAGCGGUGAAAUGCUUAGAUAUUACACAGAACACCAAUUGCGGAGGCAGCUUACUGAGCCGACACUGACGCUGAGGCACGAAAGCGUGGGGAUCGAACAG